Molecule: ribosomal RNA, 427 nt
Filed under: uncultured bacterium
Lineage: Bacteria
Description: partial 16S ribosomal RNA
Rfam family: Bacterial small subunit ribosomal RNA
Source: RNAcentral
UGGGGAAUAUUGCACAAUGGGCGCAAGCCUGAUGCAGCCAUGCCGCGUGUAUGAAGAAGGCCUUCGGGUUGUAAAGUACUUUCAGCGAGGAGGAAGGCGUUGUGGUUAAUAACCGCAGCGAUUGACGUUACCCGCAGAAGAAGCACCGGCUAACUCCGUGCCAGCAGCCGCGGUAAUACGGAGGGUGCAAGCGUUAAUCGGAAUUACUGGGCGUAAAGCGCACGCAGGCGGUCUGUCAAGUCGGAUGUGAAAUCCCCGGGCUCAACCUGGGAACUGCAUCCGAAACUGGCAGGCUAGAGUCUUGUAGAGGGGGGUAGAAUUCCAGGUGUAGCGGUGAAAUGCGUAGAGAUCUGGAGGAAUACCGGUGGCGAAGGCGGCCCCCUGGACAAAGACUGACGCUCAGGUGCGAAAGCGUGGGGAGCAAACA